CAGAUCCGUCCCUCCACUUCACGCGCUGUUAUCUGGAAGCCAGAUUAAAGUGGAGGCUAUUGAACAGCUCCAUUAAGAUUUAAUGCUGCCAUUCAGGAUUACACUCGACUCUGUGGACGGAAGGAUCGGCCUGUCCUCGUUUGGAUGGCUCAGUUUUGAUUUUAUAGAAAUGACUGGAAGGGUAAUUCUCAAAGGGAGAUUAUAUCAGCGCCCUGCCACAGUGACCUUUUAGCGUCUGCACGUUUGCAUAUUCAGUGUCAAGUGUAAAACCUGACUUUGAUUAGGGGGUUGAUUUUGGUCCUUAUCACAUGAAAGCUGUGGAAGAUCAGAUGAUGCCUGUGACUGCGUAAACCCACACAGGCACAGGUAACGUGAUUACUGGUGCACAAAAUUGCCGUUGUGCCUGAUCUGUUGCCCUUGCUUGACUCUGGUUGCUAAGCAAAAUGACGCUAGAGAUUGUGUCUGGGUAUUGUUUCACACUGGAGAGGCUCUCUGUUUCUUGCUGCGAGUGAGGAGGGUUGUGGGGCAACAGCCAUGAAAGUUCAUUUCCUACUUUGUCAUCAUCCAAAACUUAUUUCUGUGGGUCAAAACUAAAGCGGAAGACCGGGAUCAGGAAAACCAGAUCCGUUCCAAAUGAUCAAACAAAAGUUCUGCGAGGAAAAAAAAAAAAUUAUGAUAAUUUUUAGAUUAUGAGAUACAAAAUCAAAUUUCUGAAAUACUAAAUCAAAGUUUUGAUGUCACUAAAAUUAUAAGUCAUCAAUUUGGCUUAAACUCGUGCAGUUUUACACGAACAAUGAAGACAAUGGACUGAAUGAUCUGUUAACAGCUGGCCAUUUGUUUUGUGGGCCAUUAGACUGUGAACGCAGCCCUACGGCAAUGGGAAGCCCUCUGUAUUUUAUGCUCCUCCCUUCAACACCUGGCAACAGCAACAUGGCAACUGUGGCCCAGCAACCAUGCCAAGCACUGAGUCACAACCAGCCGCGCACACCCAGUGGGGCCAGGGCCACUGGGCUGCAUAAACAGGAACCAGGGGCUUAGAGGGCUUAGAGCAGGAGCCCCGAGGCAGAAAACACAAACACAUACACACUCGCACAGGAUCUCGCUGAACGUCUAUACAGUUCAUAAGUUAAUGAAAAGUUAAUGAAGAGGGAGCAGGUUUACAGCACAGAGACUUAAAGCUGCACCCCACAAUAUUUUACAUUAACAAUGGAUCAAAUGACUGUGUGUAAUAUGAAAAGCAGUUGUUCAUGGUGACAAACCCGACUUUUUUUUUUUUGGUCUCUUUCAGCUCAUUGUUUUGGUUUUACAGUGCGUAACUUCCGUAACUGUACUGUUUCAGUUGAGUCUCGCCGAUCUUGCAGACAGCUGUUUUCACCCAAAAAAAAAAAAAAAGAUCUGGUGACCUACACUGCCGGACCAGCACCAAACAGCCGACAAAAUUAGCACUUAGCUUACGAAGGAAGUCAAACAUCUAGCAGACAAAUAGCUUUAUACUUAACUCAGGAGCAGUCCAGUGAAUACUAAUGUUGUUCCGUAUCCGCUGGAUGAAACUCAAUCAGUUGCCUAUCCAGUUUAAAUGCAUCAGUUAUCAAUGAGGAAAUAUGCCACAACUAAUAGAUGACAUUUAAGAAAAAGGUUCAGGAAAAAUGUCAUCACUUACAUCUGAUGAUAUCCAGCCAUAGUGUUGGUUUUAUUAUGCCUCCGCGCCGGUGACAGCCACAGCCGAUAUCUCAGUAAUGCCUUGACGGAACUAGAUUUUGGUAGUCAAAGGUUAAGGUCACUCACAAAAUGCGAUUUUGGCCUUGUGAAUGCAAUAUCUCGAGAACACGAAAAGUCAAUUGAAUUUUGUUUGUAGUGUUCGCAGCAUUUUAAAUUGACAUAUAAAAAAACUCACCAGCAACAUCUCUUUUCCCAGAAACAAUGCAGUGGUUGCUCGGCUUAACCACAGAUAUCACGGUCAAAAACCUUUAAAGAAACUACUGUUUUGAAGGAAUAGGAGGGGUGUUGGCUGAACUGACCCUUUAAAACUACCUAUCAGAAGUAACACCACCCACUGUGUUAUGUUCAUUGACAUAUAUUGCAGAUAACCCUUUUAAAUAUACAAGGAUUUUCGAUGGUAAAUCACUGGUAUGAUUCACGUCUACUUCCUGCUCCCUCCAUCUGCCCGUUCCUCCACAAAACAGACACACAGUUGCAGGAUCUUAUCUAUUUCUCAGUGUCAAAAGAGCAGAAUAAACUCUCUGUGCUUUCCACUGGAAACCGCUCACAUGAAGUGAUAUUUUAUUCUCCUUACCAUAUCACACUUGUGCUUCAGUCAGAGCUGCUGUCUGGUAAGUACAAAUGGCGUUUUCAAAAGUGUGUGGUCAAAUCUGUUAGCAUCCCAGCUUCGGCCUCAUGUCUGACUCAUUCUUUACGCAGGUGGAACAGUUGAAUUACCACGAAGUGAUUGUGGUACGGGAUCCGUUUCCCCUCUUUCUCCUCUUAUAAAACUCACCUCAAAGGUCACGCUACUGCAGAUUGUCUGGUCUCUUCAGGCUUUCACGAGGAGCUCUUUGACUCAGGGUGACAGUGACUGCUGUAAACCUAAUGCACGAAAGCAAAAAGCACUGAAAAUGAAAUCCUACUGUGGAUUGGAAAUAUAAUUUUCUGCAUCCAAUGGGUAGACGUGUUCCUUAAUCUCAGACAUCAAAGAGGACAAAUUCACGCCUUUUUUAAAAUCUAAAGUUGAUUUAAUCUUUCUGACUUUCUUGUCUCUCUCUCUAUCUGCAUCUACGUCAGCAUGUGUGUUCACAUGUGCAGCAGUAACAGCUCGCCUCCCUUUGUCCGCAUUUUAUGACUGUUGUUUUACGGCAGCUGGGAUGUUUGUGUCUUUGUGGCAGCGCUCCGCGCACCACGCCACAGUUGACCUUGACAGCGCACUUUCAUUGAGUAGAUGCUGCACUUCAUUUUGUUGUGACGUUUGAACUCACCAGUGACCGGAUGCCAGGGGUUUCUGGCCUGUUAAUGUGUAUCCCCUAACACACACACACACACACACAUAUUUCAGGGUCUUUAAACCAUUUUGUCUCCACAGUAGGACCCAGUCUUGUUGUGUGCACCAGUGAUGAGGACCACUGCCGCUCUGCUCUCUCUCUUUUUUUGGGUAAACACUGCCAUCCAUGCUGCUCAAACCGGUUCAAAGUGUGGAGUUCCUCCUGUGUGGAGGCCGAUGGUUCACUCUCUGAGGGUGGUCGGGGGGACCGAGGCCGCAUAUGGAUCACACCCAUGGCUGGUUUCCUUACGGCUCAAGGGCUCUCAUUUCUGCGGAGGGGCCAUCCUGACUGACCGCUGGAUAAUGACCGCCGCACACUGCUUUACAUCAGUCUCGAAAGAGUUUCUCAGCGGUGUGACGGUGGCUGUGGGAGAGUUUGAUCGCGGAGUGGAUGAUGAAGAGGAGCAGGUCUUUCGUGUCAAGACUGUCUCAGUGCACGAAAAGUACCACCAUGCUUCGCCCAUGAGCCAUGACAUAGCAAUGGUAGAGUUGGACCGAGACAUCCAACUGGGGGUCCACGUCCAGCCAAUAUGUCUACCUCUGCCUGAUGAGAAAAUCCUUCCUCAAACCAGUUGCAUUGUGGGUGGAUGGGGCAGGAUAAAGGAAAAAGGUCGUCUUCCUGCGGUACUGAGAGAGGUCCGCUUGGACUUGGUGGACCCAGCCAAGUGUAAAUACGUCCUCCAGACUGUAAAAGGUUCAGUUCUGAACCAAGGACCAGUCCGCCCUCAGGCAGCCAUGACAGUUCUGUGUGCCGGACCAGAGAGAGGAGGCAGAGAUGCCUGUCAGGGGGACUCAGGGGGUCCUCUCGUAUGUCCAGCAGGGUCGAGCGGAGGUCACUGGGUGGCGCUGGGCGUAACUUCCUGGGGUAAGGGAUGUGGUCGGAGUUGGGCAAACAACAGCAGCCGACCCCCUUCCAAAAGAGGAUCUCCAGGGGUUUUCACUGAUGUCAGGCUGCUGCUGCCCUGGAUCAAGCGUAAACUGCGAGAGGCUGACGAGCAGCAGCAGGGAAUGACUGUAUCGAGACUCUGCAGUGUGAGAGAUGGGCCUGUAACUGACAUUGAGGGAGUAAUGAGAAACCCCGCCCUCCCUGGUGAUCACUAUGGCAACAACGAGUUGUGUGUGUGGAGUAUCAGUGUUCCUCCAGGUCACAGUCUCCUGCUGGAGUUUGAGCAUUUUGAUCUGGAGAAUGACUCUUACUGUCGCUACGAUCGACUCACCGUGUCAGUCGGGACCCACAGGCCUGUCGGAAUAUUCUGUGGAAGUGUCCCGCACCUCCCAGUGCUUCUUAUCCAUUCCCAGAAUGCAACACUUCUCUUCUCUUCUGACAUUAGCAGAGCAGGAAGUGGCUUUGUCAUUAGGCAUCAUGCUGUCCAGGGACAAUCUGAUCCUGGAUGCGGGACACUUGUUCUAGUUGAAAAUCAGACUGUUGUCCAUAGCCCAAACUACCCACAACCCUACAUUAAUGAUUGUGUCCUCCGCUGGGUCAUCUAUGCCCCACAGGGUCACGUUGUCAAGCUUGAGUUCGCUGAUAUUGAGCUGGAGGAGUCAGACAGAUGCUUGUAUGAUUCCCUCACUGUCCUGGGAGACGUGGAGCAAACAGAGGAGAUAGCGGUGCUGUGCGGUGGCAGUGUUCCUCCUCCCGUCCUGUCCUACCACAGCGUCAUGGUGCUUCGGUUCACCUCAGACAGCAGCAUCACACGUAGAGGCUUCAGUGCGACGCUGACAUUCAUCAGCCAAGCAGACCUCCACCAUGAUGAGGACAGACCUGGUGCAGAGGGUCAGGGAGGCAUUUGGAGAAGUCGCCAAGUGAGCCUGGAUGUCGCUGACCCAGAUGUGCAUCAGUCCAGCAGCAGAGCCCUGUCCGACCGGGGUGAUGUGGACCAGAGGAUGGGCUCAGAUGAUGAAGACUAUAGUGAAGAAUCCUCGGGGACUGUGUAGUAACCUGCUAGAAGGAGGCGUCUGUCUGGACAAGCCUGCUGUACAUUUCAACGUGUGUAACAUGUGGAAUAACACUGGUGGUGCGUUAAGCUCAGAUGAGGAUGACUGAGGCUGUACUGAAGGUGAUCCCAGUGGUGGCGGCUUUUUCCGUGGUGGUGGUGACGGUGCUGUACUUUGUCCUGCGAGCUUCUGCAGGAGGGAAGAAGCUACCUGUCACUCUGCAGGACCCUGUGGUCAAAUAUUCACUUCCACUUAUA
Molecule: RNA transcript, 5226 nt
Organism: Seriola aureovittata
Lineage: Eukaryota; Metazoa; Chordata; Actinopteri; Carangiformes; Carangidae
Gene name: NADH-cytochrome b5 reductase 2
Exons: 17
Source: RefSeq, a predicted model, not a curated record